GCAAGUCGAGGGGUAACAGGAAAGCUUGCUUUCGCUGACGACCGGCGCACGGGUGCGUAACGCGUAUGCAACCUACCUCAUACUGGAGGAUAGCCCCUGGAAACGGGGAUUAAUACUCCAUAGUAUCACGAAUUCGCAUGUUUUUGUGAUUAAAGUUUUUCGGUAUGAGAUGGGCAUGCGUCCCAUUAGCUAGUUGGUGAGGUAACGGCUCACCAAGACGAUGAUGCUUAGGGGGUCUGAGAGGAUAGUC
This 250-nucleotide ribosomal RNA is filed under the name uncultured bacterium. Its description in RNAcentral is "partial 16S ribosomal RNA". It matches the Rfam family "Bacterial small subunit ribosomal RNA", at positions 57 to 305 of the family's 1533-position model. The record is from RNAcentral.